Acanthosepion pharaonis is the source of this 113-nucleotide non-coding RNA. The record is from the annotation of a GenBank genome assembly. Lineage: Eukaryota; Metazoa; Mollusca; Cephalopoda; Sepiida; Sepiidae.
UAUGGCCAGAUCAUGUUGAAACAUAGGCCCACGUAUCAUCACAGAAGUUAAGCAAAGUUAAGCCUGGUCAGUACUUAGAUGGGUGACUGCUUGGGAAUACCAGUUGCUGUAUG